GACGAACGCUGGCGGCGUGCCUAAUACAUGCAAGUCGAACGAACCGCGACUAGGUGCUUGCACUUGGUCAAGGUGAGUGGCGAACGGGUGAGUAACAUGUGCGUAACCUACCUCAUAGUGGGGGAUAACAGUCGGAAACGACUGCUAAUACCGCAUAGGACAUGGGAUCACAUGAUUCUGAGAGGAAAGGUGGCGCAAGCCAUCGCUAAGAGAUGGACCCGCGGUGCGUUAGCUAGUUGGUAGGGUAACGGCCUACCAAGGCGAGGAUGCAUAGCCGACCUGAGAGGGUGAUCGGCCACAUUGGAACUGAGACACGGCCCAAACUCCUACGGGAGGCAGCAGUAGGGAAUCUUCGGCAAUGGACGAAAGUCUGACGGAGCAACGCCGCGUGAGUGAAGAAGGUCUUCGGAUCGUAAAGCUCUGUUGUUAGGGAAGAACAGCGCAUAGAGUAACUGUUCUGCGUGUGACGGUAUCUAACCAGAAAGCCACGGCUAACUACGUG
RNAcentral lists this ribosomal RNA (502 nucleotides) under uncultured bacterium. Its description in RNAcentral is "partial 16S ribosomal RNA". It matches the Rfam family "Bacterial small subunit ribosomal RNA", at positions 28 to 507 of the family's 1533-position model. The record is from RNAcentral.